GUUUACAGGAAAGUAAAAAAAAAAUUGUAAUAAUAUUCAUAUAGGAGGGACAUCAAAGUCAUAAAGGAACAAGUAGUAAAGUAAAGAGCCCAUAUACGAGUGUUAAUAUUUCUGAUGAAGAACUAGACGUGAUCAUCUUGCCUGCUUCAAAAUACCCAGCUGGGUAAAGUGUUCUUUUUGACGAACUCACUUUGUAAGGGGUCAAUAUCUUCUGAUGCCACAAAGACAAAAUGCCAUCUGGAAUGGUUGCACAAGAUAAGAAAUAUGAAGAGAUGAAUGAAGAAUACGAAGUGACAGCAGACAAAUGAGGCCAGGCUUCAGUGGAAUUUCAGUUGGGAGGUGCCAAAUCUUUCAUGGUACAUUCUGCCUCCCUAGAAUUGUUUUUUGUGGACCCCAGAGACACUUAAUGGAGACUCUUUACUGCAAUCAGUGAACAGGAACUUUCCUCACCUGAGAAUGAGUUGUCUUUGUCCUUGGGGGCAGAAGAAGAAGGAGGGACAUCUGCUGGGAAACAAACUCGGUCCCCUGGAUUAAUGAUACCUUCCAAUUUGUUCUUCCCACCACUCUGUUAAAAGCACAAUACACAGUGUAAAUCUACAGCAAAUGUAAUGUGGCAUUAAACUGAAAAUAUGUUAACUGUCA
Rana temporaria (common frog) is the source of this 642-nucleotide long non-coding RNA. RefSeq lists it as uncharacterized. The transcript is spliced from 3 exons. The record is from RefSeq and is a predicted model, not a curated record. Lineage: Eukaryota; Metazoa; Chordata; Amphibia; Anura; Ranidae.